AGCGAACGCUGGCGGCAGGCCUAACACAUGCAAGUCGAACGAACCUUUCGGGGUUAGUGGCGGACGGGUGAGUAACACGUGGUAACGUGCCUUUAGGUUCGGAAUAACUCAGGGAAACUUGUGCUAAUACCGAAUGUGCCCUUCGGGGGAAAGAUUAAUCGCCUUUAGAGCGGCCCGUGUCUGAUUAGCUGGUUGGUUGAGGUAAUGGCUCACCAAGGCGACGAUCAGUAGCUGGUCUGAGAGGAUGAUUAGCCACAUUGGGACUGAGACACGGCCCAAAAUGCGACGGGAGGCAGCAGUGGGGAAUCUUGCGCAAUGGGCGAAAGCGUGACGCAGCCAUGCCGCGUGAAUGAUGAAGGUCUUAGGAUUGUAAAAUUCUUUCACCGGGGACGAUAAUGACGGUACCCGGAGAAGAAGCCCCGGCUAACUUCGUG
This 434-nucleotide ribosomal RNA is filed under the name uncultured bacterium. RNAcentral describes it as "partial 16S ribosomal RNA". It matches the Rfam family "Bacterial small subunit ribosomal RNA", at positions 29 to 507 of the family's 1533-position model. The record is from RNAcentral.